Populus trichocarpa (black cottonwood) is the source of this 91-nucleotide non-coding RNA. Lineage: Eukaryota; Viridiplantae; Streptophyta; Magnoliopsida; Malpighiales; Salicaceae. The record is from Rfam.
AGGCAGUGACGAUGAAAAUCAUAUACCAUCAAACUUUGAGAGCUCGAAAAAAACUUGAGCUUGUUGAUGCCAUCUAAUAAUUUCUGAGACC